Long non-coding RNA from Tripterygium wilfordii, 1421 nucleotides. RefSeq lists it as uncharacterized. Lineage: Eukaryota; Viridiplantae; Streptophyta; Magnoliopsida; Celastrales; Celastraceae. The record is from RefSeq and is a predicted model, not a curated record. The transcript is spliced from 3 exons.
CCGUUACCGGAAUAGAUCACGGCGACGAAGGUUUACAACAACCACGAAGCUCAACUUCCCGGUAGCCGUUCGUUUCACCUCUCGCAAGUAAAUUGCUUGGAAAUUUUAGGGGAGGAGUGAGGACGUUUAAAAGUAGAAUAUACUCUAAACAUUGCCUCAAACCCUUAAACCCUGGUUGUUGUUGUUUGGUUCUCACUUGCAAGUCAAACCACUAGCGUGUAAACACACUCAUUGAAAAUCGAAAUGGCUCUCUCUCGAACUGAGAGAAGUUCUAAUCAGAAAAUAAUUAGCUCCAGAAUGAGUAGCUCCGUGCGCAGUUACUCUACUUGCAAUUUCUCAAGUUACGGAGAGUAAAACCCAUUCAGUGUCUCCUUUUGCUUUGCUAUCGCGUCGAUUCACCUCUCAAGUUUCUGCUGCAUCGGGUCAAAUGAAUCUGAUAAAGCAAUUGAGGGAACAAACCAGCGCCCCCAUCAAGGACGUCAAGUUGGCUCUCGUUGAUUGCAACUGGGACAUAGAGGCUGCACAGAAGUAGCUGGGGAAAAUAGGGAAGGUUCUAGCGUGGAAAAAGUCAUCCCGGACAGCCUCGGAGGGCUUGCUAGCCUUGGCACAGAAUGAGGGGAAGGCUGCUGUGAUUGAACUUAACUGUGAGACUGACUUUGUUGCUAGAAAGAAAAUCUUUCAGUACUUGGCAGAAAGUACAGGGAAGUCUCAGAUGGCAAUAGAAAAAAUGGUAGAGGGUCGUUUGCGUAAGUACUAUGAAGAUGUUAUUCGAAGGUAGAGACUAUACACCUCUACUUGAUGGCACAUGUUGUCCUCCAUGCUUAAAGUGUAUGGUUUAUUUCUCCCUAGUUGAUUCUACUUCUGAUAGUCUUUUACUACUGUCGUAUGUUGGUUGUCUAUUCGGUUCUUGACUUGAGGCCAAGCUCCCUGAUACAUGAUCGUAAUCGCCUGCUGAAGAAUUUGUAUUUCUCAUAAUUCAAGGGUCAUGGCUAAUGGUUUUGCAGGCCUGUGGAUUCCACUGCAGAUGAACCAGUGAUGUUAUCUGCUUAGUUUGAGCCAUGCUUGACCUUUAUUUUGAGUGGUGGCAUGUGUUCCUCACCUGUCAACCUGAAGGUCAUGAAAGUAGACGUUAACUUUGAAGAGCUGGGGAAGUUUUUGCCUCUCCAGUUGUUACAAACUUACAACUAUGUUCUAAAAUAUAAGUUACUGCAUAGUGCGUACUUAAGUUAGCGCCCAUUGCAAGAAUUCGCACAUCUGCUUGGGAAUCACAAAAUACAAUGUCUUAGUUUUUGUAGAAUUACAAUUGUUCUUCUCCUCUUAACCAGAGGCUCGAUAUGAAAAAUGCUGUUCUUCUUCCACAUUCGGACCAUUGAUUUUGCUACAGGCAUUGCAGCAUUGUGGGUGUUAAGAAUCCUGAGGUU